RNAcentral lists this transfer RNA (92 nucleotides) under Dolichovespula xanthicincta. RNAcentral's name for it is "tRNA-Ser". Lineage: Eukaryota; Metazoa; Arthropoda; Insecta; Hymenoptera; Vespidae. The record is from RNAcentral.
AGUUAAUAAGCUAAAAAGCAUAUAUUUUGAAAAUAUAAUUUAGAAAUUAAAAAUUUUCUAUUAACUUAUUAUAUAUAAACUAAUAAUUUACU